RNAcentral lists this ribosomal RNA (305 nucleotides) under uncultured bacterium. RNAcentral's name for it is "bacterial SSU rRNA". It matches the Rfam family "Bacterial small subunit ribosomal RNA", at positions 332 to 635 of the family's 1533-position model. The record is from RNAcentral.
UUUAGCCUACGGGACGCAGCAGUGAGGAAUAUUGGUCAAUGGGCGGGAGCCUGAACCAGCCAAGCCGCGUGAGGGAAGAAGGUACAGCGUAUCGUAAACCUCUUUUGUCAGGGAACAAAGGCGGGGACUAGUCCCCGGAUGAGGGUACCUGAAGAAAAAGCAUCGGCUAACUCCGUGCCAGCAGCCGCGGUAAUACGUAGGGGGCAAGCGUUAUCCGGAUUUACUGGGUGUAAAGGGAGCGUAGACGGUUAUGCAAGUCUGGAGUGAAAGGCGGGGGCUCAACCCCCGGACUGCUCUGGAAACUG